UACAGAGGUCCCAAGCGUUGUUCGGAUUCACUGGGCGUAAGGGGUGCGUAGGUGGUUGGGUAAGUCUAAUGUGAAAUCUCCGAGCCUAACUCGGAAACUGCAUCGGAUACUAUCUAGCUAGAGGGUUGGGGGGGGGACUGGAAUACUUGGUGUAGCAGUGAAAUGCGUAGAUAUCAAGUGGAACACCAGUGGCGAAGGCGAGUCCCUGGACAACUCCUGACACUGAGGCACGAAAGCUAGGGGAGCAAACGGG
RNAcentral lists this ribosomal RNA (253 nucleotides) under uncultured bacterium. RNAcentral's name for it is "partial 16S ribosomal RNA". It matches the Rfam family "Bacterial small subunit ribosomal RNA", at positions 524 to 776 of the family's 1533-position model. The record is from RNAcentral.